This 21-nucleotide microRNA is filed under the name Pteropus alecto (black flying fox). RNAcentral describes it as "pal-miR-3064-5p". Lineage: Eukaryota; Metazoa; Chordata; Mammalia; Chiroptera; Pteropodidae. The record is from miRBase by way of RNAcentral. RNAcentral also lists the same sequence under 3 other names.
UCUGGCUGUUGUGGUGUGCAA